This 253-nucleotide ribosomal RNA is filed under the name uncultured bacterium. Its description in RNAcentral is "partial 16S ribosomal RNA". It matches the Rfam family "Bacterial small subunit ribosomal RNA", at positions 524 to 776 of the family's 1533-position model. The record is from RNAcentral.
UACGUAGGGGGCUAGCGUUGUCCGGAUUUAUUGGGCGUAAAGAGCGUGUAGGCGGCUAGGUAGGUCCGUUGUGAAAACUCGAGGCUCAACCUCGAGACGUCGAUGGAAACCAUCUAGCUAGAGUCCGGAAGAGGAGAGUGGAAUUCCUGGUGUAGCGGUGAAAUGCGCAGAUAUCAGGAAGAACACCCGUGGCGAAGGCGGCUCUCUGGGACGUGACUGACGCUGAGACGCGAAAGCGUGGGGAGCGAACAGG